UACAGAGGUCUCGAGCGUUAGGCGGAAUCACUGGGCUUAAAGCGUGUGUAGGUGGAUGCCUAAGUACCUUGUGAAAUCCCACGGCUUAACCGUGGAACUGCUUGGUAUACUGGGUGUCUUGAGUCACUCAGGGGCGAGCGGAACAAAUGGUGGAGCGGUGAAAUGCGUAGAUAUCUGGAGGAACACCGGUGGCGAAGGCGGCAUCCUGGACCGGCAUUGACGCUGAGGCGCGAAAGCCAGGGGAGCAAACGGG
This 253-nucleotide ribosomal RNA is filed under the name uncultured bacterium. RNAcentral's name for it is "partial 16S ribosomal RNA". It matches the Rfam family "Bacterial small subunit ribosomal RNA", at positions 524 to 776 of the family's 1533-position model. RNAcentral also lists the same sequence under 1 other name. The record is from RNAcentral.